GAUGAACGCUGGCGGCGUGCCUAACACAUGCAAGUCGAGCGGAGAUAAGAAGAGUACUUGUACAAAUUUUAUCUUAGCGGCGGACGGGUGAGUAACACGUGAGUAACCUGCCUUUCACUGGGGAAUAACAUCGAGAAAUCGGUGCUAAUACCGCAUAACGUCACGAGAUCGCAUGGUUUUGUGACCAAAGGAGAAAUCCGGUGACAGAUGGACUCGCGUCCGAUUAGGUAGUUGGUGAGGUAAUGGCCCACCAAGCCUACGAUCGGUAGCCGAACUGAGAGGUUGAUCGGCCACAUUGGGACUGAGACACGGCCCAGACUCCUACGGGAGGCAGCAGUGGGGAAUAUUGGGCAAUGGGGGAAACCUUGACCCAGCAACGCCGCGUGAAGGAAGAAGGUCUUCGGAUUGUAAACUUCUUUGAUCAGGGACGAACAAAAUGACGGUACCUGAAGAACAAGCCACGGCUAACUACGUG
RNAcentral lists this ribosomal RNA (475 nucleotides) under uncultured bacterium. RNAcentral describes it as "bacterial SSU rRNA". It matches the Rfam family "Bacterial small subunit ribosomal RNA", at positions 28 to 507 of the family's 1533-position model. The record is from RNAcentral.